Molecule: ribosomal RNA, 606 nt
Filed under: Priestia aryabhattai
Lineage: Bacteria; Bacillati; Bacillota; Bacilli; Caryophanales; Bacillaceae
Description: bacterial SSU rRNA
Rfam family: Bacterial small subunit ribosomal RNA
Source: RNAcentral
UGCAAGUCGAGCGAACUGAUUAGAAGCUUGCUUCUAUGACGUUAGCGGCGGACGGGUGAGUAACACGUGGGCAACCUGCCUGUAAGACUGGGAUAACUUCGGGAAACCGAAGCUAAUACCGGAUAGGAUCUUCUCCUUCAUGGGAGAUGAUUGAAAGAUGGUUUCGGCUAUCACUUACAGAUGGGCCCGCGGUGCAUUAGCUAGUUGGUGAGGUAACGGCUCACCAAGGCAACGAUGCAUAGCCGACCUGAGAGGGUGAUCGGCCACACUGGGACUGAGACACGGCCCAGACUCCUACGGGAGGCAGCAGUAGGGAAUCUUCCGCAAUGGACGAAAGUCUGACGGAGCAACGCCGCGUGAGGUGAUGAAGGCUUUCGGGUCGUAAAACUCUGUUGUUAGGGAAGAACAAGUACAAGAGUAACUGCUUGUACCUUGACGGGUACCUAACCAGAAAGCCACGGCUAACUACGUGCCAGCAGCCGCGGUAAUACGGUAGGGUGGCAAGCGUUAUCCGGGAAUUAUUGGGCGUAAAGCGCGCGCAGGCGGUUUCUUAAGUCUGAUGUUAAAGCCCACGGCUCCAACCGUGGAGGGUCAUUGGAAACUGGG